UAGGGAAUCUUCGGCAAUGGACGAAAGUCUGACCGAGCAACGCCGCGUGAGUGAAGAAGGUUUUCGGAUCGUAAAACUCUGUUGUUAGAGAAGAACAAGGACGUUAGUAACUGAACGUCCCCUGACGGUAUCUAACCAGAAAGCCACGGCUAACUACGUGCCAGCAGCCGCGGUAAUACGUAGGUGGCAAGCGUUGUCCGGAUUUGUUGGGCGUAAAGCGAGCGCAGGCGGUUUCUUAAGUCUGAUGUGAAAGCCCCCGGCUCAACCGGGGAGGGUCAUUGGAAACUGGGAGACUUGAGUGCAGAAGAGGAGAGUGGAAUUCCAUGUGUAGCGGUGAAAUGCGUAGAUAUAUGGAGGAACACCAGUGGCGAAGGCGGCUCUCUGGUCUGUAACUGACGCUGAGGCUCGAAAGCGUGGGGAGCAAACAGG
This 429-nucleotide ribosomal RNA is filed under the name Gemmatimonadota bacterium. RNAcentral's name for it is "Gemmatimonadetes bacterium partial 16S ribosomal RNA". It matches the Rfam family "Bacterial small subunit ribosomal RNA", at positions 355 to 776 of the family's 1533-position model. Lineage: Bacteria; Pseudomonadati; Gemmatimonadota. The record is from RNAcentral.